Molecule: transfer-messenger RNA, 400 nt
Filed under: Anaerolineaceae
Lineage: Bacteria; Bacillati; Chloroflexota; Anaerolineae; Anaerolineales
Also listed under: 2 other names
Description: T78 sp019136215 Standard tmRNA
Rfam family: transfer-messenger RNA
About the family: Bacterial tmRNA, also known as 10Sa RNA or SsrA, is named for its dual tRNA and mRNA-like properties. Its role is to liberate the mRNA from a stalled ribosome. To accomplish this part of the tmRNA is used as a reading frame that ends in a translation stop signal.
Source: RNAcentral
GGGGAUGCCAGGUCUCGACGGGAGAGGCUGGUUCCGGAUUGCGAGCCGAGAGGUACCGACCUCGUAAAAUCAGUACAAAAAACAAGUGCCAAUCGCACAAACUACGCAACCCUUCCUUUAGCUGCAUAAGCUAAUUGACGGGAAGCUGACCUCCACAGAUGAGGUCACGUCUCCUGGGACCGUUUGCCUGAUCGGGACCAGCCAAGGCGUCAUAAAAGUCAGGCUGCUCUGGACCGCGCCGUGAGGUCCAGCUAAGAGGGCUUUCGGGUCCGAGCGGAUAGCUUGGGUGCAGUUCGGUCAGUUGAUCUGCAUGCAGGCGAACCUGAACAACUGACUACGCUCGUAGAGAUUCGAGAGUCUAAUCUUUCGGACGCGGGUUCGAUUCCCGCCAUCUCCACCU